GGAAUUAUNGGGCGUAAAGCGGGCGCAGACGGUUACUUAAGCNGGAUGUGAAAUCCCCGGGCUCAACCUGGGAACUGCGUUNUGAACUGGGUGACUAGAGUGUGUCAGAGGGAGGUAGAAUUCCACGUGUAGCAGUGAAAUGCGUAGAGAUGUGGAGGAAUACCGAUGGCGAAGGCAGCNUCCUGGGAUAACACUGACGUUCAUGCCCGAAAGCGCGGGUAGCAAACAGGAUUAGAUACCCUGGUAGUCCACGCCCUAAACGAUGUCGAUUAGCUGUUGGGCAGCAUGACUGCUUAGUAGCGAAGCUAACGCGUGAAAUCGACCGCCUGGGGAGUACGGUCGCAAGAUUAAAACUCAAAGGAAUUGACGGGGUCCCGCACAAGCGGUGGAUGAUGUGGAUUAAUUCGAUGCAACGCGAAGAACCUUACCUGGUCUUGACAUGUACGGAACCCUCCAGAGACGGAGGGGUGCCUUCGGGAGCCGUAACACAGGUGCUGCAUGACUGUCGUCAGCUCGUGUCGUGAGAUGUUGGGUUAAGUCCCGCAACGAGCGCAACCCUUGUCAUUAGUUGCCAUCAUUAAGUUGGGCACUCUAAUGAGACUGCCGGUGACAAGCCGGAGGAAGGUGGGGAUGACGUCAAGUCCUCAUGGCCCUUAUGACCAGGGCUUCACACGUCAUACAAUGGUCGGUACAGAGGGUAGCCAAGCCGCGAGGUGGAGCCAAUCUCACAAAACCGAUCGUAGUCCGGAUUGCACUCUGCAACUCGAGUGCAUGAAGUCGGA
RNAcentral lists this ribosomal RNA (782 nucleotides) under uncultured bacterium. Its description in RNAcentral is "bacterial SSU rRNA". It matches the Rfam family "Bacterial small subunit ribosomal RNA", at positions 547 to 1330 of the family's 1533-position model. The record is from RNAcentral.